UCAUUUUUGCAUUCUUUAAUUCAAGAAUCGACACAGUUUCUUCUUUAGUUAAGCAUCGUUUCGUCCCGGUGCUAAAUAUUCAUACAGUCUUCGGCGAAUCCGCAUUCAAAGUUCAAGUUUCCUCGUUCAUAAUCGAAAAUGAGAGAAAUACUUCACAUUCAAGGUGGACAAUGUGGUAACCAAAUCGGAUCUAAGUUUUGGGAGGUGGUUUGUGAUGAACAUGGUAUUGAUCCAACUGGGAAGUACGUCGGAACAUCAGAUCUGCAGCUAGAGAGAGUUAAUGUUUACUACAAUGAAGCUUCUUGUGGAAGAUUCGUUCCUCGUGCUGUACUCAUGGAUCUUGAGCCUGGGACUAUGGACAGUGUUCGAACUGGUCCUUAUGGUCAGAUCUUUCGUCCUGAUAACUUUGUUUUUGGACAAUCUGGUGCUGGUAACAAUUGGGCUAAAGGGCAUUAUACUGAAGGAGCUGAACUCAUCGAUUCAGUUCUUGAUGUUGUCAGGAAAGAAGCUGAGAAUUGUGACUGCCUUCAAGGUUUUCAAGUAUGCCACUCAUUGGGUGGAGGAACUGGCUCUGGGAUGGGUACUUUGUUGAUCUCCAAGAUCAGAGAAGAGUACCCUGACCGAAUGAUGCUCACAUUCUCCGUAUUUCCUUCGCCUAAGGUUUCAGAUACAGUAGUUGAGCCUUAUAAUGCAACCCUCUCUGUUCAUCAGUUAGUUGAAAAUGCUGAUGAGUGCAUGGUCUUGGAUAAUGAAGCCUUGUAUGACAUUUGCUUCAGGACCCUCAAGCUAACAACUCCUAGCUUUGGUGAUCUGAACCAUCUUAUCUCUGCUACCAUGAGUGGCGUUACCUGCUGCCUUAGGUUCCCUGGGCAACUUAAUUCUGACCUCAGGAAGCUCGCCGUGAAUUUGAUACCCUUCCCUCGUCUUCAUUUCUUCAUGGUUGGCUUUGCCCCACUCACCUCACGUGGGUCCCAAAUGUAUCGCGCUUUGACAGUGCCAGAGCUCACUCAGCAGAUGUGGGACUCAAAAAACAUGAUGUGUGCUGCUGACCCAAGGCACGGACGAUACCUCACUGCGUCUGCCAUGUUUAGAGGAAAAAUGAGCACCAAAGAAGUUGACGAGCAGAUGAUUAAUGUGCAAAAUAAGAACUCAUCCUACUUUGUCGAGUGGAUCCCGAAUAACAUCAAGUCAAGCGUCUGUGAUAUUCCACCAAGGGGUCUAUCAAUGGCGUCGACCUUCAUCGGAAACUCAACUUCUAUCCAGGAAAUGUUCAGGAGAGUGAGUGAACAAUUCACAGCUAUGUUUAGAAGAAAGGCUUUCUUGCAUUGGUAUACUGGUGAAGGAAUGGAUGAGAUGGAAUUCACUGAGGCAGAGAGCAACAUGAAUGAUCUUGUUUCUGAGUACCAGCAGUACCAGGAAGCUACUGCUGACGAGGAAGGUGAAUAUGAGGACGAAGAAGAGGAGUUACAGGAGAUGUGAGAAACUUACAUAGUAGGUUAAAAGUAGUAGAAUGGAUUGGAGUGUUGAUAUUGGAAUUUGGAUUUCAGGUCGCUGUGAUGAUCAUGUUGCCUCUUCAAGACAAUUUGAACAUCUCUAAUCGGUAGUGACUUUGCAUUGAACUUUGAUCGAAACCAGUGAGAGUCGUCAUGGUCGCAAAACAUAUCCCGGAUCUUGCAUAUAUUUCGGUUUCAGCCAUUGAUGACGCCAUAGCUUCAAUCCGAUUAAUCCUUUACAAAUUAGUAUUCGCUAUUUGUGAGACCCGUUUCUCAAAUUGAUCAUUCUUUAUACAUCGGAAUGGACGAUUCCAUAGGUUAUAGUCGAAAAGAAGAGUAAAGAGUUUUUUCAAUCCAGAGGAGGUCUUUAUCUUCUUUAAGUUCAAAGUAUCUCCAUCUUUGAAUUUUCUUCCGGACAAAGGGAAAGGUCCUGGUCUCUGACUUUCUACCACGACGACUCUGACUUUGUAACUGCAAUGUUUCGGUUACAAACGAAGCAGGAUUUAUGGCGAGAAAAAUGCUCUGAGGAUCGGGCGAUUAUCUAGUCAAUUCAGUUUUUCAACUCAGUAAAUUUUUUUAAUUUUUUUUAGAAUGCUACAUUUCUAAGCUUUCUGAUGUUUGUUUAUUCAUAAUUUCUUAUA
This is an RNA transcript of Papaver somniferum (opium poppy), 2134 nucleotides long. It is a transcript of the gene named tubulin beta-1 chain, with no coding region annotated. The record is from RefSeq and is a predicted model, not a curated record. The transcript has 5 exons. NCBI's taxonomy places the organism in Eukaryota, Viridiplantae, Streptophyta, Magnoliopsida, Ranunculales, Papaveraceae.